GACGAACGCUGGCGGCGUGCUUAACACAUGCAAGUCGAACGGAAAGGCCCUGCUUUUGUGGGGUGCUCGAGUGGCGAACGGGUGAGUAACACGUGAGUAACCUGCCCUUGACUUUGGGAUAACUUCAGGAAACUGGGGCUCAUACCGGAUAGGAGCUCCUGCUGCAUGGUGGGGGUUGGAAAGUUUCGGCGGUUGGGGAUGGACUCGCGGCUUAUCAGCUUGUUGGUGGGGUAGUGGCUUACCAAGGCUUUGACGGGUAGCCGGCCUGAGAGGGUGACCGGCCACAUUGGGACUGAGAUGCGGCCCAGACUCCUACGGGAGGCAGCAGUGGGGAAUAUUGCACAAUGGGCGGAAGCCUGAUGCAGCAACGCCGCGUGCGGGAUGACGGCCUUCGGGUUGUAAUCCGCUUUCGCCUGUGACGAAGCGUGAGUGACGGUAAUGGGUAAAGAAGCACCGGCUAACUACGUG
RNAcentral lists this ribosomal RNA (468 nucleotides) under uncultured bacterium. Its description in RNAcentral is "partial 16S ribosomal RNA". It matches the Rfam family "Bacterial small subunit ribosomal RNA", at positions 28 to 507 of the family's 1533-position model. The record is from RNAcentral.